Molecule: ribosomal RNA, 307 nt
Filed under: uncultured bacterium
Lineage: Bacteria
Description: bacterial SSU rRNA
Rfam family: Bacterial small subunit ribosomal RNA
Source: RNAcentral
AACGAACGCUGGCGGCAUGCCUAACACAUGCAAGUCGAACGGGAUCCUGGUUUCGGCCAGGUGAGAGUGGCGGACGGGUGAGUAACGCGUGGGAACCUGCCCAGUGGUGGGGGAUAACUGCGGGAAACUGCAGCUAAUACCGCAUGAGCCCGAAAGGGGAGAGAUUGAUCGCCAUUGGAGGGGCCCGGCGUUCGAUUAGGUAGUUGGUGAGGUAACGGCUCACCAAGCCUUCGANCGAUAGCUGGUCUGAGAGGAUGAUCAGCCACACUGGGACUGAGAUACGGCCCAGACUCCUACGGGAGGCAGC